UGGCUCAGGACGAACGCUGGCGGCGUGCUUAACACAUGCAAGUCGAACGAUGAACCACUUCGGUGGGGAUUAGUGGCGAACGGGUGAGUAACACGUGGGCAAUCUGCCCCUCACUUCGGGGAUACCUCCACUCGCAUGGGUGGRGGUUGAAAGCUCCGGCGGUGAGGGAUGAGCCCGCGGCCUAUCAGCUAGUUGGUGAGGUAACGGCUCACCAAGGCGACGACGGGUAGCCGGCCUGAGAGGGCGACCGGCCACACUGGGACUGAGACACGGCCCAGACUCCUACGGGAGGCAGCAGUGGGGAAUAUUGCACAAUGGGCGCAAGCCUGAUGCAGCGACGCCGCGUGAGGGAUGACGGCCUUCGGGUUGUAAACCUCUUUCAGCAGGGAAGAAGCGCAAGUGACGGUACCUGCAGAAGAAGCGCCGGCUAACUACGUGCCAGCAGCCGCGGUAAUACGUAGGGCGCGAGCGUUGUCCGGAAUUAUUGGGCGUAAAGAGCUCGUAGGCGGCCUGUCGCGUCAAUUGUGAAAGCCCGGGGCUUAACCCCGGGUCUGCAGUCGAUACGGGCAGGCUAGAGUGUGGUAGGGGAGAUCGGAAUUCCUGGUGUAGCGGUGAAAUGCGCAGAUAUCAGGAGGAACACCGGUGGCGAAGGCGGAUCUCUGGGCCAUUACUGACGCUGAGGAGCGAAAGCGUGGGGAGCGAACAGGAUUAGAUACCCUGGUAGUCCACGCCGUAAACGGUGGGCACUAGGUGUUGGCGACAUUCCACGUCGUCGGUGCCGCAGCUAACGCAUUAAGUGCCCCGCCUGGGGAGUACGGCCGCAAGGCUAAAACUCAAAGGAAUUGACGGGGGCCCGCACAAGCAGCGGAGCAUGUGGCUUAAUUCGACGCAACGCGAAGAACCUUACCAAGGCUUGACAUACACCGGAAACGUCUGGAGACAGGCGCCCCCUUGUGGUCGGUGGCUCGUGUCGUGAGAUGUUGGGUUAAGUCCCGCAACGAGCGCAACCCUUGUCCCGUGUUGCCAGCAAGCCCUUCGGGGUGUUGGGGACUCACGGGAGACCGCCGGGGUCAACUCGGAGGAAGGUGGGGACGACGUCAAGUCAUCAUGCCCCUUAUGUCUUGGGCUGCACACGUGCUACAAUGGCCGGUACAAUGAGCUGCGAUACCGCGAGGUGGAGCGAAUCUCAAAAAGCCGGUCUCAGUUCGGAUUGGGGUCUGCAACUCGACCCCAUGAAGUCGGAGUUGCUAGUAAUCGCAGAUCAGCAUUGCUGCGGUGAAUACGUUCCCGGGCCUUGUACACACCGCCCGUCACGUCACGAAAGCCCAACCCCCUUGCGGGGAGGGAGCCGUCGAAGUGGGACUGGCGAUUGGGACGA
This 1378-nucleotide ribosomal RNA is filed under the name Streptomyces sp. RNAcentral describes it as "bacterial SSU rRNA". It matches the Rfam family "Bacterial small subunit ribosomal RNA". The record is from RNAcentral. Lineage: Bacteria; Bacillati; Actinomycetota; Actinomycetes; Kitasatosporales; Streptomycetaceae.